CACCCAGACUCCUACGGGAGGCAGCAGUGGGGAAUAUUGGGCAAUGGGCGCAAGCCUGACCCAGCAACGCCGCGUGAAGGAAGAAGGCUUUCGGGUUGUAAACUUCUUUUCUGGGGGACGAACAAAUGACGGUACCCCAGGAAUAAGCCACGGCUAACUCCGUGCCAGCAGCCGCGGUAAUACGGAGGAUGCGAGCGUUAUCCGGAUUUAUUGGGUUUAAAGGGUGCGCAGGCGGAUUUUUAAGUCAGCGGUCAAAUCGCGGGGCUCAACCUCGCUCCGCCGUUGAAACUGGCGUUCUUGAGUGGGCGAGAAGUAUGCGGAAUGCGUGGUGUAGCGGUGAAAUGCAUAGAUAUCACGCAGAACUCCGAUUGCGAAGGCAGCAUACCGGCGCCCAACUGACGCUGAAGCACGAAAGCGUGGGUAUCGAACAGGAUUAGAUACCCCCGUAC
Molecule: ribosomal RNA, 449 nt
Filed under: uncultured bacterium
Lineage: Bacteria
Description: bacterial SSU rRNA
Rfam family: Bacterial small subunit ribosomal RNA
Source: RNAcentral